UGGGGAAUAUUGCACAAUGGGCGAAAGCCUGAUGCAGCAACGCCGCGUGAGGGAUGACGGCCUUCGGGUUGUAAACCUCUUUUAGUAGGGAAGAAGCGAAAGUGACGGUACCUGCAGAAAAAGCACCGGCUAACUACGUGCCAGCAGCCGCGGUAAUACGUAGGGUGCAAGCGUUGUCCGGAAUUAUUGGGCGUAAAGAGCUCGUAGGCGGUUUGUCGCGUCUGCUGUGAAAUCCCGAGGCUCAACCUCGGGUCUGCAGUGGGUACGGGCAGACUAGAGUGAGGUAGGGGAGAUUGGAAUUCCUGGUGUAGCGGUGGAAUGCGCAGAUAUCAGGAGGAACACCGAUGGCGAAGGCAGAUCUCUGGGCCAUUACUGACGCUGAGGAGCGAAAGCAUGGGGAGCGAACA
Molecule: ribosomal RNA, 407 nt
Filed under: uncultured bacterium
Lineage: Bacteria
Description: partial 16S ribosomal RNA
Rfam family: Bacterial small subunit ribosomal RNA
Source: RNAcentral